This 301-nucleotide ribosomal RNA is filed under the name uncultured bacterium. Its description in RNAcentral is "partial 16S ribosomal RNA". It matches the Rfam family "Bacterial small subunit ribosomal RNA", at positions 509 to 809 of the family's 1533-position model. The record is from RNAcentral.
CAGCCGCCGCGGUAAUACGUAGGUGGCAAGCGUUGUCCGGAAUUAUUGGGCGUAAAGGGCUCGCAGGCGGUUUCUUAAGUCUGAUGUGAAAGCCCCCGGCUCAACCGGGGGGGGUCAUUGGAAACUGGGAAACUUGAGUGCAGAAGAGGAGAGUGGAAUUCCACGUGUAGCGGUGAAAUGCGUAGAGAUGUGGAGGAACACCAGUGGCGAAGGCGACUCUCUGGUCUGUAACUGACGCUGAGGAGCGAAAGCGUGGGGAGCGAACAGGAUUAGAUACCCCAGUAGUCCCUGUCUCUUAUAA